CUCUUAGAGACAGAUUGAAGUAAUUACUACCAAAUGUUAACAGUAUUUUUACUUUGUCCUCUUUAGAGACAGAUUGAAGUAAUUACUACCAAAUGUUAACAGUAUUUUUACUUUGCCCUCUUUAGAGACAGAUUGAAGUAAUUACUACCAAAUGUUAACAGUAUUUUUACUUUGCCCUCUUUAGAGACAGAUUGAAGUAAUUACUACCAAAUGAAGCUAAUAACUAAGAACUUUUAAUAUCAUUGAAUGUAAGCAAUUUUAACCAGGUGCUCCACAGGGCGCAGCUUUAUACGACCGCAGAGGUCGAACCCUGAACAGUUGGGGCAAGUAUGGACAAAACAUUCAAGCGUGAUACAGCUCUGAAUUUGGAUUGUGAUAAAAUUUUUGACAUUACAUGUUUUUUUUUUACACAAAACAAAUGUCAAGAUUUUACAAAUCAAUUAAAGAUUUCUUCAAACUUUUUAAAUCUAAAAUUAAAUAGUUGACACAGCAUAGGUUUCUGACACAGAAUGAAUGUGGUCUAAUGAACUUAAAAAGUUUUUUUUUGCCUUUGAG
Molecule: long non-coding RNA, 555 nt
Filed under: Mytilus galloprovincialis (Mediterranean mussel)
Lineage: Eukaryota; Metazoa; Mollusca; Bivalvia; Mytilida; Mytilidae
Source: RNAcentral